CGUACACAUUUCUUCAGUUGGGAACGUAGAGCUAAUGUUUUUGCUACGAAUAAUACAGUCGAAAAGAAAUACACCCCACCACAUUAUAACUAUAGUUUCAGAACGGCUAGUACAUUCUUCAGCGCCAUCUUGUGGUGUGGAUCAACAUCGAAUGCUGUUUUUUUCUUUGGGUGUGCCCUUGCUUGGCGUGAAUUUGCGCGGGCUUGAGUUCUAAACAUUUACCGGCUUUUCAACUUUCUUUAGUCUUCAGUCGCUGAGAGACCAUUGUUGAGUUUAUUUGUCUUCAGUCAAGUCAAAAUGGGUUUCCAAAACCUGGUAGUAGUUGCCAGCAAGGCACUUUUAAUUAUUGUCCGGGAACGGUUCUUCUGCCAAGGAUUCUUUCCAAUGAAUUACCACCAAUUCAUAAGAGGUUUAGGACUGGUAAUCCAGCGCUUUGGCGAUAUGAUUCUCGAUUUGGGCUGUCUGUUCCUGUACCAGUUCGUCUACUUCCUGGAGGAUAUGGAGGCAUUCAUAAACCGUCUACUUUAUGAGUUAUACUUUGAAUUCCUCAGACUGAUUCCCACGUGGAUUCCUAAUAGGUACUCGUAAUGGAAGUGUUUGAUCACAAUGGCCGCUAUUUCAAUAUUCCUGACAAUUUUAAGUUCCUAAGCAUUUUACCUGAAUUUUAAUAAGUAAUUCACAACUAUGUAAUGAAUUGUUAAUUCUCAACUUUUUAAUAAAUGUGAAGUUUUUAUUUUCA
Leptinotarsa decemlineata (Colorado potato beetle) is the source of this 739-nucleotide long non-coding RNA. The record is from RefSeq and is a predicted model, not a curated record. NCBI's taxonomy places the organism in Eukaryota, Metazoa, Arthropoda, Insecta, Coleoptera, Chrysomelidae.